ACACAGACUUUUUUCAAAGUCAUGAAUAGUUUCAUGAACUUAAGA
Molecule: non-coding RNA, 45 nt
Organism: Phaethon lepturus (White-tailed tropicbird)
Lineage: Eukaryota; Metazoa; Chordata; Aves; Phaethontiformes; Phaethontidae
Source: Rfam